This 61-nucleotide microRNA precursor is filed under the name Lepisosteus oculatus (spotted gar). Its description in RNAcentral is "Loc-Mir-199-P1-v2_pre stem-loop". It matches the Rfam family "mir-199 microRNA precursor family", at positions 12 to 71 of the family's 80-position model. From Rfam's summary of the family: This family consists of the microRNA (miRNA) precursor mir-199 which appears to be specific to humans. Animal miRNAs are transcribed as ~70nt precursors and subsequently processed by the Dicer enzyme to give a ~22nt product. Lineage: Eukaryota; Metazoa; Chordata; Actinopteri; Semionotiformes; Lepisosteidae. The record is from RNAcentral.
CCCAGUGUUCAGACUACCUGUUCAGGAUGAUACUGGUGUACAGUAGUCUGCACAUUGGUUA